ACUAGAAUGCACGCUGUUGGUGCCCGUGCCGGCGUUCAGUCGGCACAGUUAAACGGGAAGCAGAAGAGCGUCCUCGACGCUCGAAUCUGCGCUGCCCCCGCAACGGUACGGCGGACGAAGUCGAUGGGGUCAGCCUCGUCGCUUCCGCUCUCGCGCACAUGCCACUGAAGGCCGGUCCGGCUUCGGGAAGGUCGCGAGGGUCGCUCCGCCAGCCCGGAUACCGGCCAACGAGCGGACGCGUGU
RNAcentral lists this non-coding RNA (243 nucleotides) under Rhizobacter sp. Root404. Lineage: Bacteria; Pseudomonadati; Pseudomonadota; Betaproteobacteria; Burkholderiales; Sphaerotilaceae. The record is from RNAcentral. RNAcentral also lists the same sequence under 1 other name.